GCCAGGGAACCAGAGAUCAGCCAGGUAGCCCAACGCCUUUUGUAAUUAUGCAAACUAGACAAUCACCAAUGGUUCACUCCAUCUGCCUUACCUUUCCUUCGGAAACCUCAAUAAAGGCAGUGGCCUAACUCUUCCCCUAGCUCCUGUCUUCUGCCUCCUGACUACCACGGUGUCUUUCCCAUGUGAACUCAGGUGGCAUUUUGUGCCUCUAGGACCUAUAAGUUAAGCCUUGUCAUUGAUGCCAAAUCUAUGAGCCAACUCAUACAUAGAUUCUGAGAAGUCAGGUUGAAAGCCCUCCUGAGAGGAAAAACUAAACUUGAUUCCAACAAUAAGUACCAAUGUGAGUGGAAUAUAAUGGAAAGAUGUUGUAAAAGCAGCAUAAAGUGUCAUUUGCAAGAGAAGAGCAUGUAACACCACAGGCAAAAGAGAGAGACAAUAGAACAGGAACCAGCUUUCCUGUGGGAUAUGAAGAAAGUACAAAGUGAAAUGAGAAUGAAUACUCUAGUGAGCACUGUGGAGGUUAUACAAGGAUAGAAUGAAACUUUGAGGAGGUCCAAUCAGAAAGCUAUUAUAAUAAUCCAG
RNAcentral lists this long non-coding RNA (582 nucleotides) under Homo sapiens (human). Its description in RNAcentral is "HSALNT0041698". The record is from RNAcentral. Lineage: Eukaryota; Metazoa; Chordata; Mammalia; Primates; Hominidae.